Molecule: ribosomal RNA, 497 nt
Filed under: uncultured bacterium
Lineage: Bacteria
Description: partial 16S ribosomal RNA
Rfam family: Bacterial small subunit ribosomal RNA
Source: RNAcentral
GAUGAACGCUGGCGGCGUGCCUAAUACAUGCAAGUCGAGCGAACGGACGAGAAGCUUGCUUCUCUGCUGUUAGCGGCGGACGGGUGAGUAACACGUGGAUAACCUACCUAUAAGACUGGGAUAACUUCGGGAAACCGGAGCUAAUACCGGAUAAUAUUUUGAACCGCAUGGUUCAAAAGUGAAAGACGGUCUUGCUGUCACUUGUAGAUGGAUCCGGGCUGCAUUAGCUAGUUGGUAAGGUAACGGCUUACCAAGGCAACGAUGCAUAGCCGACCUGAGAGGAUGAUCGGCCACACUGGAACUGAGACACGGUCCAGACUCCUACGGGAGGCAGCAGUAGGGAAUCUUCCGCAAUGGGCGAAAGCCUGACGGAGCAACGCCGCGUGAGUGAUGAAGGUCUUCGGAUCGUAAAACUCUGUUAUUAGGGAAGAACAUAUGUGUAAGUAACUGUGCACAUCUUGACGGUACCUAAUCAGAAAGCCACGGCUAACUACGUG